RNAcentral lists this ribosomal RNA (374 nucleotides) under uncultured organism. RNAcentral's name for it is "partial 16S ribosomal RNA". It matches the Rfam family "Bacterial small subunit ribosomal RNA", at positions 527 to 896 of the family's 1533-position model. The record is from RNAcentral.
GUAGGUGGCAAGCGUUGUCCGGAAUUAUUGGGCGUAAAGCGCGCGCAGGCGGUCCUUUAAGUCUGAUGUGAAAUCCCACGGCUCAACCGUGGAAGGUCAUUGGAAACUGGGGGACUUGAGUACAGAAGAGGAAAGCGGAAUUCCAAGUGUAGCGGUGAAAUGCGUAGAGAUUUGGAGGAACACCAGUGGCGAAGGCGGCUUUCUGGUCUGUAACUGACGCUGAGGCGCGAAAGCGUGGGGAGCAAACAGGAUUAGAUACCCUGGUAGUCCACGCCGUAAACGAUGAGUGCUAAGUGUUAGGGGGUUUCCCGCCCCCUUAGUGCUGCAGCUAACGCAUUAAGCACUCCGCCUGGGGGAGUACGGUCGCAAGACUG